UACGUAGGGUGCAAGCGUUAAUCGGAAUUACUGGGCGUAAAGCGUGCGCAGGCGGUCCUUUAAGUCUGAUGUGAAAGCCCACGGCUCAACCGUGGAGGGUCAUUGGAAACUGGGGGACUUGAGUACAGAAGAGGAAAGCGGAAUUCCACGUGUAGCGGUGAAAUGCGUAGAGAUGUGGAGGAACACCAGUGGCGAAGGCGGCUUUCUGGUCUGUAACUGACGCUGAGGCGCGAAAGCGUGGGGAGCAAACAGG
Molecule: ribosomal RNA, 253 nt
Filed under: uncultured bacterium
Lineage: Bacteria
Description: partial 16S ribosomal RNA
Rfam family: Bacterial small subunit ribosomal RNA
Source: RNAcentral